This 89-nucleotide ribosomal RNA is filed under the name uncultured bacterium. RNAcentral describes it as "partial 16S ribosomal RNA". The record is from RNAcentral.
AUGACGGCCUUCGGGUUGUAAACCUCUUUCAGCAGGGACGAAGCGCAAGUGACGGUACCUGCAGAAGAAGCACCGGCUAACUAACGUGC